UACGUAGGGGGCAAGCGUUGUCCGGAAUCAUUGGGCGUAAAGCGCGUGUAGGCGGCCCGGUAAGUCCGCUGUGAAAGUCGGGGGCUCAACCCUCGAAUGCCGGUGGAUACUGUCGGGCUAGAGUGCGGGAGAGGCGAGUGGAAUUCCUGGUGUAGCGGUGAAAUGCGCAGAUAUCUGGAGGAACACCGGUGGCGAAGGCGGCAUCCUGGACCAAUAUUGACGCUGAGGAGCGAAAGCCAGGGGAGCAAACGGG
This 253-nucleotide ribosomal RNA is filed under the name uncultured bacterium. Its description in RNAcentral is "partial 16S ribosomal RNA". It matches the Rfam family "Bacterial small subunit ribosomal RNA", at positions 524 to 776 of the family's 1533-position model. The record is from RNAcentral.